RNAcentral lists this ribosomal RNA (467 nucleotides) under uncultured bacterium. RNAcentral describes it as "partial 16S ribosomal RNA". It matches the Rfam family "Bacterial small subunit ribosomal RNA", at positions 28 to 506 of the family's 1533-position model. The record is from RNAcentral.
GACGAACGCUGGCGGCGUGCUUAACACAUGCAAGUCGAACGGAAAGGCCCUGCUUUUGUGGGGUGCUCGAGUGGCGAACGGGUGAGUAACACGUGAGUAACCUGCCCUUGACUUUGGGAUAACUUCAGGAAACUGGGGCUAAUACCGGAUAGGAGCUCCUGCUGCAUGGUGGGGGUUGGAAAGUUUCGGCGGUUGGGGAUGGACUCGCGGCUUAUCAGCUUGUUGGUGGGGUAGUGGCUUACCAAGGCUUUGACGGGUAGCCGGCCUGAGAGGGUGACCGGCCACAUUGGGACUGAGAUACGGCCCAGACUCCUACGGGAGGCAGCAGUGGGAAAUAUUGCACAAUGGGCGGAAGCCUGAUGCAGCAACGCCGCGUGCGGGAUGACGGCCUUCGGGUGGUAAACCGCUUUCGCCUGUGACGAAGCGUGAGUGACGGGAAUGGGGAAAGAAGCACCGGCUAACUACGU